GGAGCUUGAGACCGGCGCACGGGUGCGUAACGCGUAUGCAAUCUACCUUUUACAGAGGGAUAGCCCAGAGAAAUUUGGAUUAAUACCUCAUAGUAUUAUGAAAUGGCAUCAUUUUAUAAUUAAAGUCACAACGGUAAAAGAUGAGCAUGCGUCCCAUUAGCUAGUUGGUAAGGUAACGGCUUACCAAGGCUACGAUGGGUAGGGGUCCUGAGAGGGAGAUCCCCCACACUGGUACUGAGACACGGACCAGACUCCUACGGGAGGCAGCAGUGAGGAAUAUUGGACAAUGGGCGCAAGCCUGAUCCAGCCAUGCCGCGUGCAGGAUGACGGUCCUAUGGAUUGUAAACUGCUUUUAUACGAGAAGAAACACUACUUCGUGAAGUAGCUUGACGGUAUCGUAAGAAUAAGGAUCGGCUAACUCCGUGCCAGCAGCCGCGGUAAUACGGAGGAUCCAAGCGUUAUCCGGAAUCAUUGGGUUUAAAGGGUCCGUAGGCGGUUUAAUAAGUCAG
RNAcentral lists this ribosomal RNA (509 nucleotides) under Flavobacterium sp. RNAcentral's name for it is "bacterial SSU rRNA". It matches the Rfam family "Bacterial small subunit ribosomal RNA", at positions 84 to 591 of the family's 1533-position model. The record is from RNAcentral. Lineage: Bacteria; Pseudomonadati; Bacteroidota; Flavobacteriia; Flavobacteriales; Flavobacteriaceae.